UGUAGUGGGGCGCGGGCUCUUUUAUGAAGGCAUUAGCACGGGGAGCGGCGGGCCUCGGCGGAUGGGGACAGAACGUUUGUGCUUAUUUCUGCGGGGCCGGAGGAUGCCGGUGGCGCAGCUGGUGACAGUCCCGGGUGUGGCCAAAAGCAGGCACGCCCCUCACUGGGAGCUGCUGCGUCGGGGUUAGUUAUGGAGACGAAGGUGCAGCGCGUCCUGCCCAAGUGCACGGCCACUGAAUUGCAGCCCCCGACCCUGGAUGGAGCCAGCUGCGUCGGGGACAGAGCGCACGCGGACGGCGGCGGCGGCCAGUCGCCAACGACGGGUGACCCUUCCCUGGGGCGCCCCAAGCUCAGCGCUCGACACCCCCACCGACGCGCGACACGCGGAGCGAGGCAUCCCGGGGAGGGCCGUUCACCAGCGCAGGGGGCCCCGGAGCGCCCACCUGAGCUCCGUCCCCAUGCGGCGGCACCCAAGCCCGGCCACCGCUGACCCCGAGAGCCCCAGCCCGGAGCCACCGUACCGCCCGCCUGCGCCACGUGGAGCUGCCGAGCCGCCGCGCCCGCGGCCUGGAAGAAUUUCCCGUCUCCCUCGGUUACCCGCUGCAGCAACCGCGGAAAAGCGCGGGGCCAGAAAGACAACCGAAUUUCACCACCUGGGUAGAUGUCCUCCGGCUUCUUCCCAGCGGCGAGCGGGCGCGCACACGCACUCACACUAAUACACGUGUUCACGCACCCGUGCACACUCACAUAUCCACGCGCGCGCGCGCACACACCCCGCCUUCCCCUCGUCGUAGGAAGACACCCACACCCGGUCCACGCGCUCCCCUAGGUCCCGCCGGGCAGGGGCGACAGCGAGGCCCGUGCUGUGGCCCCAACACCGCCCCGCCCAGAGGUGGGCAGCUCCCGCCUUCGGGGUCACCUCCCUUCCCCCUUCCGUCACCUGAGGCCCUACCGGGGGCGGAGGGAGCGCUCUCCGGGCUGCAAACCGACCGUGGGGUCACCGUGGAGGCGGGGUGGGCAUCCUCCUUUUCCUCUCGCACCUCCCAGCGGCGGUGCUGAAGGGAACAUGAAGAUACACGUCUGUGACUCACCCCACCUGGGAGACACCGAGUGCUCAGGACGACGCAGGUCGGGUGCUGCGCCCCAGACCCCGUGUGCAGGUCAGCGUUCCAAACCUGGGUCACCAUGGUCCACCUCCUGAUCACAUCGUUGGGAACCAAGUGCCGUCAGAGCAAAGAGCCAUAACACGCGGGGACCCGGGAGGAUUCCCGGAGCCCAGAAUGAGAGAUUUGCAAGUAAAAAAGUGCAAAAGCGGGGGCCACGCACAAAGCCGUCCCAGCGCCACCACCCUCGGCGAGGCCCACACGCGCAUCGCUCACUCCCAUCCCGGAGCUCAGCUUCUAGCUUCCGGGUCUCAUUUCCCCUUUACUCUGUUUGUCAGCGUUAGGUCGGAUAAAUAAAGUCUCUUGGUAGA
Molecule: long non-coding RNA, 1473 nt
Organism: Globicephala melas (long-finned pilot whale)
Lineage: Eukaryota; Metazoa; Chordata; Mammalia; Artiodactyla; Delphinidae
Source: RefSeq, a predicted model, not a curated record